Long non-coding RNA from Osmia bicornis bicornis, 2326 nucleotides. RefSeq lists it as uncharacterized. The transcript is spliced from 4 exons. The record is from RefSeq and is a predicted model, not a curated record. Lineage: Eukaryota; Metazoa; Arthropoda; Insecta; Hymenoptera; Megachilidae.
GGGGAAUAUACCAUAGAGACGAGGACAGUGGGGAGUGCUGAUCGCUGGUUCCAGUUGCGUCCUCUCGCCGCAGUCGACGUUGUGCAGGUGGAGAAAGUCAUUCGGAGGGGCGUAUUUUUGACUGAGGAUAAAUGAAAAGGUGAUACUCUGAUGGAAGCUUUAAUUUUCAAUAAUAGGAAAUUCUUGGAGAGCCCAGGGAGAUCCUACGAAACACGCGCAUCAAAGUGCAUUCGUUUACAAUUGGUAGCAUCUUGCACGGCAAGUCAUGCCGAUGUCUGUGGUAUUGCAUAACGCGAGAGAAGCGGUAUCGAGCGUGUUGCUGGAGAGGACUGUUACCGAGAGAAUCGAGGAUGGAACGGGGUGCACAGAAGACCCGACAUGAUUUUAUCUGGUGCGGUGCAUCGUUCGUCCCGGCCAAACGAGUGAAAGUCGAAUGCUGAGUACAAUUCAGCAUCCGAAAGCGGUACCUUGGCUUCUGUUCUUAUUAUACAGGAUUUACGAUCUCGACGAUGAUUAAUAAUUUCUUGUGGGCUCUUUCGAGACACGUUUCCCAUCAUCGUGCUGAGGAAUAUCUUCUUGUAGGAUCUUUCGAGUUUCAGUUCAUGGAUGGAUUUUUUUGAAAUUGACACAAGGACAAUAGGAUCGUAAGUACUUUGUGUUAACCCUUUCGCUGCCAUGGUGGUCCUAUGAGACUGGCGCUUGUCUUUUCACUGGAUGACCACCACUAAGAAAAAUGUGCUAUUGGCAAGAUUGUACCAGUUUUUUGCCAUUAUAAAAUAUUUAAUAUGAAAUUUGUGGCCCACUGGUGCAAAAAUUCGCGUGGCAGCGAAAGGAUUAAGUGAAACGAAGUUACAGUGCAUUUAGAUAAAAGAAGCGUAAAGGCAACGAAUUAAUUUCUGCAAUAACAAUGCAUGGAAGGAUUAUUAUUUAUUUAUCAGAGUAUCGAAUAAUGAAUACUUUGAAGUAUUAGCAUUUGAAAGUAGAUUUUCUACUUUUUUAUUCUUCUUUUAAUUACGUUACAUGAAUGUCUUAAUACUUACCUGUACGAUUUGUGAAUGCACGUAAGGUAUUAUUACCUCGAAUUAAGCAAAAAGUAUGUUAAGUUUAAUUGUGAGAAUAAAAAAAUGGAGGCUCGUUAACACAUUCCAAAGGAGAAUUUCCAUAUUUUCAAGUAAAAAGACAGGUAACGAAGCUUCGAACGCAAGUUUCCCUUCGUCGAUUCAUCGCGGGUUGAUCCGUUCGAAGAAAGUUCUCGUAACGAUUUCGAAACCAGCCCAGAUAUCCACGUUCCGUCCGUAAAUCCGCGGCUUCGUCUGUCAGUAUGUCUGCCUGGCACGUCUUUUCCCUUUCGCGAGAAUCCGGCUAUUUUAUUCCGCGAAGCGUUCAAACGGUUUUCUCUCCGACCGAACUCUGCGCGUUACGACUUUUAAGUGUCCCCCAGUUUUCGACUCCGCCAUUGUUCGUAGCUUUCCUUCGGUGCAAAACGUUCCGCCAUUGUGUUAAAUCAUUGGUAAAUCUACAUUCCAGGGCUGACGUUUUUCUGUCAUACUGUUUUAAGCGUUCGAACUUAUUAAAUGACUGAUUUUGGGAAUGGGAAUGAUCUGACGCAAAUUCAUGACAUAAAAGUAUUUCGAAAUAAGGCUUACGAUAUAUCGAUUUAAAGUUUAAAGUUUAUUGAAAAUAACUACAUAAACGUUUGGUUAAUAUUCUUAAUAUAAAAUGGCUGAUUCUUAAUUGAAGGAACCGAUGGGUUAGCCAACGUGUACCUUAGUUCCAGUGAAAAAUUAGUUAAUUUGUCGUAAGAAUUUUAACGAAACAUUUAUGUAGUCAUUUUCAGGAAAUCUUAAGCUUCAAAUUGAUGUAUCAUAAGUACUGUUUUGUGAUACUUUUAUGUCAUGAAAUUGUAUCAGACUUUAUAGAUAUUGAAUGAAAGUCGCUUCGAAAUUUCACUUCGAACGAAAUGGUAAUUAAAACUUUCUAUGUUAUUGUCACGCGAAACGUGUUAAUCGACAAUUGUAGAACAUGAUGUAAGGUUUUUCAACGUGCUAGAAGUAGUAUGCUCGUUAUGUCACGUGUAAUGUAAUACAUGCAUACGUGAAUAUAAUACUAUAAUCAUAGCGUGAUGAAAGAAUACGGGUUCAGUACAAUGUUUGAUAAUUCAAUUAAUUUUUGCGUUACCAUUAAAUAGUGUUGUCGUACAAUUUUUAAUUAUUCUAGCUUUGAGAUUCAAGUUUCAUUUGCAAACAAAUUGCAAAAUGAAUUCAUAAUGAAUUAAUCCUUGAACGGUGGAGCCUGGAUCAAUCGUGAGGGCUCUCUUCAUGGUCCG